UCCUUCCAGAAGAACCACUUCACUGUGACGAGUGUGGGUUGGAGCAGAGCUUAGAAGGAAGGGAGAUGCCAUCCUCACCAGGUAAACACUGGUCCUGCAUCUGCAGACACCACAGGAACUUCUGGCCAGAACACUACUUCCAAAGCCCAGGUAAGAUUUUCUGAGAGGUUGACUGAAGAAAUUGCAAGAAAUAGAGAUCCACAUAGAGUGCCCACUUCUGACCUGGACAUUUGGAAGGAUUGGGUGGCCUUCAGUUGAAGGUGGAAGAGUCUGAGCCAACAGAUCUGGAUCUCCAGUUCAGUUGGACACAACCCUAACUUGUGCUGAGAAUCAAUAUGGAAGCUUGAGGGGCUGAUUGUUGAAGAAAAGCUGAAAAGAAAAAAUAUGUCAUUGAUUCUUGAAAACUUUUACCCAAGGGAAGCUCCUUCUUUGGAGUUCAAAGAAGAACCUAAGCUCUUUGAAAACUGUUCUUGAGAUCACUAGGAAGCUUCUCUGUUGGCCACAAGAAUUGCUCCAAAAAUUAAAACAAAAGGAUAUGAGAUGUCCACAUUUUCUGAUCACUUGGAUCAAUGCGCCAACAUCUUGGGCUGGAAUUUGGAGAAGCAGAUGGGAUAUGCAAGAGAGGUUCCUGGAAGAAACUGGUGGCAGGAUGGGGGUGGGUAGGCCAGCAGGCCAGGAAAAGAGAGACCCCAGGUGAAGGUGUCCUAUCUGGUGGUUACAGCCUCAGUCUGGUCACACUGGGGGCUCACACUGUGAUCCAAAGCUGCAGAUGGACUGAUUUGCAAGGGACCCAGGAGCCACUAGAGCAGUUCCCUGAAAGUAAGGGCCCUGGGCAUCAGGAGAUGUGUCCUGGCACACAGAGGCAUGGCUGGG
This 873-nucleotide long non-coding RNA is filed under the name Heterocephalus glaber (naked mole-rat). RNAcentral's name for it is "lncRNA (ENSHGLG00000047922.1)". Lineage: Eukaryota; Metazoa; Chordata; Mammalia; Rodentia; Bathyergidae. The record is from RNAcentral.